AUACUUACCUGGCAGGGAGAAUACCGUGAUGGUGAAGGUGGUUUUCCCAGGGCGAGGCUUACCCAUUGCUCUCUAAAUACGCUAUCCCCUGUGAUUCCCCCAAAUAUAAGAAACUUGACUGCAUAAUUUGUGCUCAUGGGGGACUGUGUUUGGACUCUCCCCUA
Small nuclear RNA from Pteronotus mesoamericanus, 164 nucleotides. RefSeq annotates it as U1 spliceosomal RNA. The record is from RefSeq and is a predicted model, not a curated record. NCBI's taxonomy places the organism in Eukaryota, Metazoa, Chordata, Mammalia, Chiroptera, Mormoopidae. The transcript has a single exon.